UUGAACGCUGGCGGCAUGCUUUACACAUGCAAGUCGAACGGUAACAGGCCUUCGGGUGCUGACGAGCGGCGAACGGGUGAGUAAUGCAUCGGAACGUGCCCAGAGGUGGGGGAUAACGCAGCGAAAGCUGUGCUAAUACCGCAUGUGAUCUGAGGAUGAAAGCGGGGGACCAGGCAGCAAUGUUUGGCCUCGCGCCUUUGGAGCGGCCGAUGUCAGAUUAGGUAGUUGGUGGGGUAAAGGCCUACCAAGCCGACGAUCUGUAGCUGGUCUGAGAGGACGACCAGCCACACUGGGACUGAGACACGGCCCAGACUCCUACGGGAGGCAGCAGUGGGGAAUUUUGGACAAUGGGCGCAAGCCUGAUCCAGCAAUGCCGCGUGCGGGAAGAAGGCCUUCGGGUUGUAAACCGCUUUUGUACGGAACGAAAAGGCUCUGGCUAAUACCUGGGGCUGAUGACGGUACCGUAAGAAUAAGCACCGGCUAACUACGUG
This 491-nucleotide ribosomal RNA is filed under the name uncultured bacterium. RNAcentral's name for it is "partial 16S ribosomal RNA". It matches the Rfam family "Bacterial small subunit ribosomal RNA", at positions 30 to 507 of the family's 1533-position model. The record is from RNAcentral.